AAAGUCGUAACAAGGUAACCGUAGGUGAACCUGCGGUUGGAUCAUUAACAAAAUGAUAAGAGUCCGGACCAUAAAACGUCCUGGGCUUUUAUAAACACCUGUGAACUGUAAUUGUCUCUGGUGGGCUUUAAAAGGCCCACCAUCAAUAAUUUGAACUUUUAUAUCAUGAAUUAGUUUUUAAUUAAUAUUUAAUCUAAAACAACUUUUGACAACGGAUCUCUAGGCUCUC
RNAcentral lists this unclassified non-coding RNA (229 nucleotides) under Chytridiomycota sp. RNAcentral's name for it is "partial contains small subunit ribosomal RNA, internal transcribed spacer 1, and 5.8S ribosomal RNA". The stretch from base 1 to 47 matches the Rfam family "Eukaryotic small subunit ribosomal RNA", at positions 1785 to 1831 of the family's 1831-position model. The record is from RNAcentral. Lineage: Eukaryota; Fungi; Chytridiomycota.